Molecule: ribosomal RNA, 244 nt
Filed under: uncultured bacterium
Lineage: Bacteria
Description: partial 16S ribosomal RNA
Rfam family: Bacterial small subunit ribosomal RNA
Source: RNAcentral
AUGCGACCGGCGCACGGGUGAGUAACACGUACCCAACCUGCCGAAUAAUCGGGAGUAGUCCUUUAAAAGAAAGAUUAAUACCCGAUAGCAUAAUGAUUCCGCAUGGUUUCAUUAUUAAAGGAUUCCGGUAAAGGAUGGGGAUGCGUUCCAUUAGGUUGUUGGUGAGGUAACGGCUCACCAAGCCUUCGAUGGAUAGGGGUUCUGAGAGGAAGGUCCCCCACAUUGGAACUGAGACACGGUCCAA